AAGAGUUACAGCUCUUUUAGAAUUUGUCUGGCAGGCUUUCCAGUUUUUGCCAGUGUGAACCCAAA
Gorilla gorilla gorilla (western lowland gorilla) is the source of this 65-nucleotide small nuclear RNA. Its record names the gene U7. It matches the Rfam family "U7 small nuclear RNA". Rfam says of the family: Animal histone pre-mRNAs are spliced by a different mechanism than nuclear pre-mRNAs and self-splicing introns. This processing involves the U7 snRNP, which contains only one RNA species: U7. NCBI's taxonomy places the organism in Eukaryota, Metazoa, Chordata, Mammalia, Primates, Hominidae. The record is from Ensembl.